UUUUUUUUUUUUUUUUUUUUUUUUUUUUUUUUUUUUUUUUUUUGUU
This 46-nucleotide non-coding RNA is filed under the name Alexandrium minutum. The record is from RNAcentral. Lineage: Eukaryota; Dinophyceae; Gonyaulacales; Pyrocystaceae.